GGCUCAGGACGAACGCUGGCGGCGUGCCUAAUACAUGCAAGUCGAGCGGACAGAUGGGAGCUUGCUCCCUGAUGUUAGCGGCGGACGGCUGAGUAACACGUGGGUAACCUGCCUGUAAGACUGGGAUAACUCCGGGAAACCGGGGCUAAUACCGGAUGCUUGAUUGAACCGCAUGGUUCAAUUAUAAAAGGUGGCUUUAAGCUACUUCUUACAGAUGGACCCGCGGCGCAUUAGCUAGUUGGUGAGGUAACGGCUCACCAAGGCAACGAUGCGUAGCCGACCUGAGAGGGUGAUCGGCCACACUGGGACUGAGACACGGCCCAGACUCCUACGGGAGGCAGCAGUAGGGAAUCUUCCGCAAUGGACGAAAGUCUGACGGAGCAACGCCGCGUGAGUGAUGAAGGUUUUCGGAUCGUAAAACUCCGUUGUUAGGGAAGAACAAGUACCGUUCGAAUAGGGCGGUACCUUGACGGUACCUAACCAGAAAGCCACGGCUAACUACGUGCCAGCAGCCGCGGUAAUACGUAGGUGGCAAGCGUUGUCCGGAAUUAUUGGGCGUAAAGCGCGCGCAGGCGGUUUCUUAAGUCUGAUGUGAAAGCCCCCGGCUCAACCGGGGAGGGUCAUUGGAAACUGGGGAACUUGAGUGCAGAAGAGGAGCGUGGAAUUCCACGUGUAGCGGUGAAAUGCGUAGAGAUGUNGAGGAACACCAGUGGCGAAGGCGACUCUCUGGUCUGUAACUGACGCUGAG
Molecule: ribosomal RNA, 748 nt
Filed under: Bacillus licheniformis
Lineage: Bacteria; Bacillati; Bacillota; Bacilli; Caryophanales; Bacillaceae
Description: bacterial SSU rRNA
Rfam family: Bacterial small subunit ribosomal RNA
Source: RNAcentral